Molecule: unclassified non-coding RNA, 479 nt
Filed under: Peptoniphilus indolicus
Lineage: Bacteria; Bacillati; Bacillota; Tissierellia; Tissierellales; Peptoniphilaceae
Description: partial contains 16S ribosomal RNA, 16S-23S ribosomal RNA intergenic spacer, and 23S ribosomal RNA
Rfam family: Bacterial large subunit ribosomal RNA (bases 371-479)
Source: RNAcentral
UCGGAAGGUGCGGCUGGAUCACCUCCUUUCUAAGGAAAUAAAUUCACAGGCUGUAAAAGGAAAGUGGAUUAAAUAAAAAGUCUUAUAGACUUUUCUACACUGUUUUAAUUAUAUAUAUCAAACACCGCGGGGGUGUAGCUCAGUUGGGAGAGCACCUGCCUUGCAAGCAGGGGGUCAGGAGUUCGAAUCUCCUCAUCUCCACCAUAGACCAUUAAAUUGGUCUUUUUAAACUCUACUAAAUUGUAGGGGAUGAACCAUGAAAACUAAACAAUCAUAUCAAGAAAGAAGAAGAGUCAAAUUUAAUACGAAGUAAUAAAGAAGACACUUUUUCACUGGAAAAGAAAGCAGUCAAUGAGAAUUGAUUAGCAAAGGUCAAGUAAAAAAGAGCAUUAGGUGAAUGCCUAGGCACCAAGAGGCGAAGAAGGACGCGACAAGCUGCGAAAAGCUGUGGGUAGGAGCAAAUAUCCGCCAAACCACAG